AUCGCUUCUCAGCCUUUUGGCUAAGAUCAAAUGCAAUAUCUAUUCUUAUCAGUUUACUAUAUGAUACAUCCUGUAUUCAAUGGCAAUAUAUUAGAUGGAUUCUGGAGCAAGAAGAUGAAGUAGGAGCUUGCUCUGUCCAUUGUAUGUAUUGAUUUGGUAUUGUAGUACCUCUAGAAAUGCUGUGCCCUAU
Small nuclear RNA from Nycticebus coucang (slow loris), 190 nucleotides. RefSeq annotates it as U2 spliceosomal RNA. Lineage: Eukaryota; Metazoa; Chordata; Mammalia; Primates; Lorisidae. The transcript has a single exon. The record is from RefSeq and is a predicted model, not a curated record.